This 31-nucleotide non-coding RNA is filed under the name unclassified sequences. RNAcentral describes it as "L31-Firmicutes ribosomal protein leader". It matches the Rfam family "L31-Firmicutes ribosomal protein leader". The record is from RNAcentral.
CUAUGAUUUUAAAAAAUCAUGGCGGAAGGAG